GUCUAGUGGCGCACGGGUGCGUAACGCGUGGGAAUCUGCCCUUGGGUUCGGGAUAACAGUUGGAAACGACUGCUAAUACCGGAUGAUGUCUUCGGACCAAAGAUUUAUCGCCCAAGGAUGAGCCCGCGUAGGAUUAGCUUGUUGGUGAGGUAAGAGCUCACCAAGGCGACGAUCCUUAGCUGGUCUGAGAGGAUGAUCAGCCACACUGGGACUGAGACACGGCCCAGACUCCUACGGGAGGCAGCAGUGGGGAAUAUUGCACAAUGGGCGAAAGCCUGAUGCAGCGACGCCGCGUGAGGGAUGACGGCCUUCGGGUUGUAAACCUCUUUCAGUAGGGAAGAAGCGAAAGUGACGGUACCUGCAGAAGAAGCGCCGGCUAACUACGUGCCAGCAGCCGCGGUAAUACGUAGGGCGCAAGCGUUAUCCGGAAUUAUUGGGCGUAAAGAGCUCGUAGGCGGUUUGUCGCGUCUGCCGUGAAAGUCCGGGGCUCAACUCCGGAUCUGCGGUGGGUA
This 512-nucleotide ribosomal RNA is filed under the name uncultured bacterium. Its description in RNAcentral is "bacterial SSU rRNA". It matches the Rfam family "Bacterial small subunit ribosomal RNA", at positions 90 to 632 of the family's 1533-position model. The record is from RNAcentral.